This 253-nucleotide ribosomal RNA is filed under the name uncultured bacterium. RNAcentral describes it as "partial 16S ribosomal RNA". It matches the Rfam family "Bacterial small subunit ribosomal RNA", at positions 524 to 776 of the family's 1533-position model. The record is from RNAcentral.
UACGUAGGGGGCGAGCGUUGUCCGGAGUUACUGGGCGUAAAGCGCACGCAGGCGGUCUGCUAAGUUUGGAGUGACAGUUGGUGGCUUAACUGCCAAAGUGCUUCGAAAACUGACAGACUUGAGGGCUUCAGAGGGACACGGAAUUCCGGGUGGAGUGGUGAAAUGCGUAGAUAUCAAGUGGAACACCAGUGGCGAAGGCGAGUCUCUGGACAUUUCCUGACGCUGAGGCACGAAAGCCAGGGGAGCAAACGGG